AUCCACUUACGCAUGACGUACGUGCCACGCCUCAGUGAUGCCUAGAAGUAGCCAGAGCUAUCAUACAGGGUGGGUGCCCGGUAAUGGGGACUGAUACAUAGGGACCGGACUGCAACUCUUUUUGGGUGCAGUAGUGCAUGGUCCUUGAGCCUCGUAGACAGCACCGUGCUAGAGACUAGAGUCCUCGUUUGGUGCCCACAUGAUCGUGCCUUGCCAAAGAUAUCACUGUUGUUGAAG
RNAcentral lists this long non-coding RNA (237 nucleotides) under Elaeis guineensis (African oil palm). RNAcentral describes it as "long non-coding RNA (EGUI_LNC003343)". The record is from RNAcentral. Lineage: Eukaryota; Viridiplantae; Streptophyta; Magnoliopsida; Arecales; Arecaceae.